This is a long non-coding RNA of Nicotiana attenuata, 248 nucleotides long. RefSeq lists it as uncharacterized. NCBI's taxonomy places the organism in Eukaryota, Viridiplantae, Streptophyta, Magnoliopsida, Solanales, Solanaceae. The record is from RefSeq and is a predicted model, not a curated record. The transcript has 3 exons.
AUAGAUAUGGUUUCGGAAGUGAAACACCAUCACAUCCUUCGAGGACUCCGCUUCAUCCAUCAAUGACACCCAUGAGAGAUCCUGGAGGUACAAUUGAGAAGUUGGAAACACUGCUUCUUGGGGGUCAAGUCCGGAAUAUCAGGUUUGUCUUGAAGAUUGACAAAGGAAGUUCAGGCAUGAACUAGGUUUAUCCCCUGUGUGCAUAGAAACGGGCAGAUUCGAGCAUGUGGGAUGCACGUGAAGGAGAC